AUUGAACGCUGGCGGAAUGCUUUACACAUGCAAGUCGAACGGCAGCACGGGGCAACCUGGUGGCGAGUGGCGAACGGGUGAGUAAUACAUCGGAACGUGCCCAAUCGUGGGGGAUAACAUAGCGAAAGUUACGCUAAUACCGCAUACGAUCUACGGAUGAAAGCGGGGGAUCGCAAGACCUCGCGCGAAUGGAGCGGCCGAUGUCAGAUUAGGUAGUUGGUGGGGUAAAGGCUCACCAAGCCAAUGAUCUGUAGCUGGUCUGAGAGGACGACCAGCCACACUGGAACUGAGACACGGUCCAGACUCCUACGGGAGGCAGCAGUGGGGAAUUUUGGACAAUGGGCGCAAGCCUGAUCCAGCCAUUCCGCGUGCAGGAUGAAGGCCUCGGUUGUAAC
Molecule: ribosomal RNA, 395 nt
Filed under: uncultured bacterium
Lineage: Bacteria
Description: bacterial SSU rRNA
Rfam family: Bacterial small subunit ribosomal RNA
Source: RNAcentral